UACGUAGGGGGCAAGCGUUGUCCGGAUUUAUUGGGCGUAAAGAGCUCGUAGGUGGUUCGGUAAGUCGGGUGUUAAACCCCCAGCUCAACCUGGGGACCGCCACUCGAUACUGCUGUGACUAGAGUCCGGUAGGGGAGCGUGGAAUUCCUGGUGUAGCGGUGAAAUGCGUAGAUAUCGUGAGGAACACCAGAGGCGAAGGCGGCUACCUGGACAAUUGCUGACGCUCGAGGCACGAAAGCGUGGGGAGCAAA
Molecule: ribosomal RNA, 251 nt
Filed under: uncultured bacterium
Lineage: Bacteria
Description: partial 16S ribosomal RNA
Rfam family: Bacterial small subunit ribosomal RNA
Source: RNAcentral